RNAcentral lists this ribosomal RNA (434 nucleotides) under uncultured bacterium. RNAcentral's name for it is "partial 16S ribosomal RNA". It matches the Rfam family "Bacterial small subunit ribosomal RNA", at positions 29 to 507 of the family's 1533-position model. The record is from RNAcentral.
GCGAACGCUGGCGGCAGGCUUAACACAUGCAAGUCGCGCGGGCAUCUUCGGAUGUCAGCGGCAGACGGGUGAGUAACACGUGGGAACGUACCCUUCGGUUCGGAACAACUCUGGGAAACUGGAGCUAAUACCGGAUACGCCCUUAUGGGGAAAGGUUUACUGCCGAAGGAUCGGCCCGCGUCUGAUUAGCUAGUUGGUGGGGUAACGGCCUACCAAGGCGACGAUCAGUAGCUGGUCUGAGAGGAUGAUCAGCCACACUGGGACUGAGACACGGCCCAGACUCCUACGGGAGGCAGCAGCGGGGAAUAUUGGACAAUGGGCGCAAGCCUGAUCCAGCCAUGCCGCGUGAGUGAUGAAGGCCUUAGGGUUGUAAAGCUCUUUUGUCCGGGACGAUAAUGACGGUACCGGAAGAAUAAGCCCCGGCUAACUUCGUG